GGCAGUCUCUCCAUAAACUGCCUGUAUAACCGCUCUACAUAACUCAGAGGAUUCAUAUAUAUCAUAUUACACCGUAUUAAACAUUUUUAAUAGGUUUCUCAGGUAAAACCAAGCCCCAUAGUUAUUGAGCCAUGUGCAGGUAGCCGAGCUGCAGUGCUGACUGUCCUGGUCAACUUACCACAAGCAGUUUCUGGAGUGCCUCCAACCGGCAGGUAAUGAGUUCAAAUGGGUGCAGGUGAUGAGUGCAGAAUAGGAGGGAUUCUUAAAGAAAAACAAACAGGUCUGAGAGAGCAAGAAUUCUUGCUGGUUGGUAGGUAAUAAAAUACUUAUUUCAUGCUAUAAAAUGCCAAUUAAUUAUUUAUAAAUCAUAUAAUAUGAUUUUCUGGAUUUUUUUAGGUUCUGUCUUUUGCAGUUUAAAGAUACCUACGAUAAAAAAUUACAGAU
Molecule: long non-coding RNA, 444 nt
Organism: Astyanax mexicanus (Mexican tetra)
Lineage: Eukaryota; Metazoa; Chordata; Actinopteri; Characiformes; Acestrorhamphidae
Exons: 3
Source: RefSeq, a predicted model, not a curated record